AGGGAAUCUUCGGCAAUGGACGGAAGUCUGACCGAGCAACGCCGCGUGAGUGAAGAAGGUUUUCGGAUCGUAAAGCUCUGUUGUAAGAGAAGAACGAGUGUGAGAGUGGAAAGUCCACACUGUGACGGUAUCUUACCAGAAAGGGACGGCUAACUACGUGCCAGCAGCCGCGGUAAUACGUAGGUUCCGAGCGUUGUCCGGAUUUAUUGGGCGUAAAGCGAGCGCAGGCGGUUAGAUAAGUCUGAAGUUAAAGGCUGUGGCUUAACCAUAGUACGCUUUGGAAACUGUUUAACUUGAGUGCAAGAGGGGAGAGUGGAAUUCCAUGUGUAGCGGUGAAAUGCGUAGAUAUAUGGAGGAACACCGGUGGCGAAAGCGGCUCUCUGGCUUGUAACUGACGCUGAGGCUCGAAAGCGUGGGGAGCAAACAGGAUUAGAUACCCUGGUAGUCCACGCUGUAAACGAUGAGUGCUAGGUGUUAGACCCUUUCCGGGGUUUAGUGCCGUAGCUAACGCAUUAAGCACUCCGCCUGGGGAGUACGACCGCAAGGUUG
Molecule: ribosomal RNA, 549 nt
Filed under: uncultured bacterium
Lineage: Bacteria
Description: bacterial SSU rRNA
Rfam family: Bacterial small subunit ribosomal RNA
Source: RNAcentral